UAAGGAAUAUUGGUCAAUGGACGAAAGUCUGAACCAGCCAUGCCGCGUGGAGGAUGAAGGCCCCCUGGGUUGUAAACUUCUCUUAUAGGGGACGAAAAAGGGUCUUUCUAGAUCAACUGACGGUACCCUAGGAAUAAGCACCGGCUAACUCCGUGCCAGCAGCCGCGGUAAUACGGAGGGUGCAAGCGUUAUCCGGAUUCACUGGGUUUAAAGGGUGCGUAGGUGGGUUAGUAAGUCAGUGGUGAAAUCUUCGAGCUUAACUCGGAAACUGCCAUUGAUACUAUUAGUCGUGAAUAUUGUGGAGGUUAGCGGAAUAUGUCAUGUAGCGGUGAAAUGCUUAGAUAUGACGUAGAACACCAAUUGCGAAGGCAGCUGGCUACACAUAUAUUGACACUGAGGCACGAAAGCGUGGGGAUCAAAC
Molecule: ribosomal RNA, 421 nt
Filed under: uncultured bacterium
Lineage: Bacteria
Description: bacterial SSU rRNA
Rfam family: Bacterial small subunit ribosomal RNA
Source: RNAcentral